RNAcentral lists this long non-coding RNA (2319 nucleotides) under Dermacentor andersoni. RNAcentral describes it as "uncharacterized LOC126517821". The record is from RNAcentral. Lineage: Eukaryota; Metazoa; Arthropoda; Arachnida; Ixodida; Ixodidae.
UUGACAUAACCCUGUAUGUUUUGCAGGGACAACCCAGGACGUGCAUUUCUCAGCACCCAGUCAACUGCCAAAAGUGACUCAAACACAGGCCACCAGUGGAACUCUGCUGUACCACUGCAGUGCUGCGGAAAUUGCCUUCACCAGCGGCUUUGCAACAGCUGUUUCGCAGCAUGUCGGAGACAAUGCCUACGAAAUUAUUGGCCCUGAUGACGAGAGCCCUCAAGGGGCAAACGACAUCUCUGUUGCAGAAGUGAGACCGAUACCACCUGAAGUUACCAUGACAGGUGACACGGCAGCAAUAGAUACAGAGACGGCCAUGUCUACUGCAGCUGCAACAGUGUACGAGGCAAGCAGCAGUGUGUCAGCAUCAGCAGCAGUGUCGGAAGGAACCGCACCAGGCCUGGUAGAGCAACAUGUGUGCUAUCACUGACUUUUCUUGUAGUGCAUACAACUCAUUUGCUCAACAUACAAAAGCUUUUCACCACGACUGUGAGCCAGUGUUAUUGUGCAGCAAGUGCAAGACUAAGUUAGGUGUUAUAACACAGUACAAGCAUCACUUUAAUAUAUGCAAAUGCAAACAUAUUACAGUUGUUGCCUCCCCAGCCAGCCCACAUAGUGACAACAAUGUGGAACACAUGGUGGGACACACCUCUCCCCCAUUACAAGAUAGUAGAGACUGUCAGUGUUGUUGCUAGAUUGACUGGUCUUUGUAGGCAACUAGAAGGACAACAUAGGUGUCAUAAGAUUGUUGUUGAUGUUGUUGAAGAGGUAAAAAAGAAGUUUGAUGCAGCUGAAGUGCCAACUGAUAUUGAGCAAAUCAAAAGCAACGACCUGAGAAAGCAACCCUAUCGAAAUUUGGGUAUCUAUGUGCCGCCAACUCUGGUAAGAAUGGCAUAGGACAGAAGUGUGAUGAAAAUCACAGAGACACUGCUGUUGCAUCACUGGCCACAGUGAGCAGCGACUUGUAGGGCAAGAGAGUCAACUGAAACUAACAUUAUGAUAUAGUGUCAUGCUCCCAUGUGACCACUUUUCAAGUUAUUUUGCAAGAUACAGCUCAACCUCCAGAAACGAGACUGCAACUUGUCUGUAAAAAAGCUUUCACAAAAAAUUAUUCAUAACACUAUUAACAUAGCAGUAUCUUUUUUUUUUGUGUCGGUUCGAGGUUCCCGGCUGUCCAUUAAUGCAAAAAUUGAGGAAAAAAAGAACAUGUGUCGUACUUACACCUUUUUAACAAGUACGAGGGGGACAGAACUUUUCUAGUCAUGCAUCUUCAUCAUGCUAUCAAGUUUUUAAAUGCCUUUUAUAAUUAUUAUCACCAGUUAUAUCUGAGUGCAUUGUAUGCAUGUAGCAGGUGUAAAAUCAGGUCAGUUGGAUCAGAUGCCUUAUCUGCAAGCGAGCCCUAUAUUCAAGAAAUUUGAAUUAAAAUAGUUACGUUAGAGACGCAGUCUUUCAGCACUUUAUUGCCUGUGGUUUAAGCAUUGCUCAAUACUUUUGUGGGUGGCAAUUUCAACCGGCACAGCACUGCGCUUUGCCACAGUCACAUUUGUCUUCAAAGCGGUGUUUACCAUUUGUGUUGGUCUGUUUGUGUAUGCAUAGAGCAAGUUUUUAAUUUAUAUUUUUCUGCAUUCUUGUGCUUGCACUAAGCUUGUAUAAGGCAGUUACAAAAUGUGCGUCACUAUAACGAACUGUUCUGUUGAGCUUACACUUGCAAAUAAUCGUGUUCAGAUGGCCGCACUUCUAUGCGGGUGCACUGCUAGCUUUGUGUAUGUUCUCAUGCUUGUACAAAGCUUAUAUAAGCUAGUUAGAAAAUGUAUGUCACUAAGCAUUGUGAUAUUCUUUAAAGAACUGCUUGGUUGGUUUUACACUUGUGAACUAGUAUUGAGGCAGUGGUAUUCCCAUGUGUGCCCACUGCUAGCUUUCUGUGUCCUCACGUGUUUGUAUUAAGUUUCUACAAGGGAGUUACAGCAUGUACGUCACUAAGCACUGUGAUAUUUUUUAAAGAACUGCUUUGUUGGUUUUACACCUGUGAGUAAUAGUACUCGGGUGGCACUAGUCAUGUGUAGGUACACAGAAACCAUUUGUAUACAUUAUGCUCAUGUAAAGCAGUUACAAAGUGUAUGUCACUAAUUACUGUGAUAUUUGUUGAAUUGCUGUGAUGGUUUUACACAUGUGAAUAAUAGUGGUCAGGACACAGUACUUGCGGUGUAUAGUUGAAUUUAUACACUGCCAAGGCAUGGGCUGUAUACAUACCAAAAGAAAUGUAUGUCAUUAUAUUGUUGUGAUUGUUACUGUUUGGAUUUUAUUAAACUGUAAUAAAAU